This 656-nucleotide ribosomal RNA is filed under the name bacterium 21GR. RNAcentral describes it as "bacterial SSU rRNA". It matches the Rfam family "Bacterial small subunit ribosomal RNA", at positions 60 to 705 of the family's 1533-position model. The record is from RNAcentral.
AGUCGAACGGCAGCACAGGAAAGCUUGCUCUCUGGGUGGCGAGUGGCGGACGGGUGAGGAAUGCAUCGGAAUCUACUUUUUCGUGGGGGAUAACGUAGGGAAACUUACGCUAAUACCGCAUACGCCCUACGGGGGAAAGCCGGGGACCUUCGGGCCUGGCGCGGAUAAAUGAGCCGAUGUCCGAUUAGCUAGUUGGCGGGGUAAAGGCCCACCAAGGCGACGAUCGGUAGCUGGUCUGAGAGGAUGAUCAGCCACACUGGAACUGAGACACGGUCCAGACUCCUACGGGAGGCAGCAGUGGGGAAUAUUGGACAAUGGGCGCAAGCCUGAUCCAGCCAUACCGCGUGGGUGAAGAAGGCCUUCGGGUUGUAAAGCCCUUUUGUUGGGAAAGAAAAGCCAUGGGUUAAUACCCUGUGGUUCUGACGGUACCCAAAGAAUAAGCACCGGCUAACUUCGUGCCAGCAGCCGCGGUAAUACGAAGGGUGCAAGCGUUACUCGGAAUUACUGGGCGUAAAGCGUGCGUAGGUGGUUGUUUAAGUCUGUCGUGAAAGCCCUGGGCUCAACCUGGGAAUUGCGAUGGAAACUGGGCGACUAGAGUGUGGCAGAGGGUAGUGGAAUUCCUGGUGUAGCAGUGAAAUGCGUAGAGAUCAGGAGGA